RNAcentral lists this ribosomal RNA (774 nucleotides) under uncultured Neocallimastigales. RNAcentral describes it as "partial large subunit ribosomal RNA". It matches the Rfam family "Eukaryotic large subunit ribosomal RNA", at positions 23 to 631 of the family's 3401-position model. Lineage: Eukaryota; Fungi; Neocallimastigomycota; Neocallimastigomycetes; Neocallimastigales. The record is from RNAcentral.
ACACGCAUGACACACUGCAUAUCAAUAAGCGGAGGAAAAGAAACUAACUAGGAUUCCCUUAGUAACGGCGAGUGAAGCGGGAAGAGCUCAAAUUUGAAAUCUUCAAGGUUCUACCUUGACGAAUUGUAGUUUAAAGAAGUGUUUUCUGUUGGAGUUUUGGUAAAAGUUCUUUGGAAUAGGACAUCAUAGAGGGUGAGAAUCCCGUAUUUGACCAUUUCUUCCAGCUGUGUGAUACACUUUCAAAGAGUCGGAUUGUUUGGGAAUGCAGUCCAAAAUGGGUGGUAAAUUUCAUCUAAAGCUAAAUAUUGGCGAGAGACCGAUAGCGAACAAGUACCGUGAGGGAAAGAUGAAAAGAACUUUGAAAAGAGAGUUAAACAGUACGUGAAAUUGUCAAAAGGGAAGCGUUUGACACCAGUGUUGUUUUCUCGAAAAUCAAUUAAAAAUGGCCGGAUUUUGUGUUGUAUUGACUUUAUCAGCUUUCUGCACUUUUUUCUUGUCUUUUUUAAUGCACUUUUCGUUUAACAAGUCAACAUCAAUUUCUUUUGUUGUAAAAGAGUCAUUGGAAGGUGGCUUUCAUUUCGGUGAAAGUGUUUAUAGCCUUUGACUUCUGCAAUCGGAGAGAUUGAGGUCUGCAGCGUAGAUCCUUCGGGGUUAGAUACAUUUGUGCUAAGUUAUAGUUUUUCAUAGACAACUUGUUGACUAUGUUUAGUCAUGUAGCUUACUCGUAAGUGCUAUUUUACCUACGCUUAGGAUGUUGAAGACUCUACAGAGAUA